GUGCGAAAGCACGAUGAGGGAAUCCCAAGUGCCAGCUCGUAAGAGUUGGCUGUUUUUCUGUCUAAAACACAGAGAGAGUAAGAGCUGGGUAAGACGGGUGCCAGCCGCCGCGGUAAUACCUGCAGCUCAAGUGGUGGCCGCUAUUAUUGGGCCUAAAACGUCCGUAGCCUGUUUAGUAAAUGCUUGGGUAAAUUGUGUAGCUUAACUAUACGAAUACCGGGUAGACUGCUAAACUUGGGACCGGGAGAGGCUAGAGGUACUCCUGGGGUAGAGGUGAAAUUCUGUAAUCCUAGGGGGACCACCAGUGGCGAAGGCGUCUAGCUAGAACGGGUCUGACGGUGAGGGACGAAGCCCUGGGGCGCAAACCGGAUUAGAUACCCGGGUAGUCCAGGGUGUAAACGCUGCUUGCUUGAUGUUAGUUGGGCUCCGAGCCCAACUAGUGUCGGANGAGAAGUUGUUAAGCAAGCUGCCUGGGAAGUACGGUCCCAAGACUGAAACUUAA
This 502-nucleotide ribosomal RNA is filed under the name uncultured archaeon 63-A16. RNAcentral's name for it is "bacterial SSU rRNA". It matches the Rfam family "Archaeal small subunit ribosomal RNA", at positions 357 to 859 of the family's 1478-position model. The record is from RNAcentral.